This 253-nucleotide ribosomal RNA is filed under the name uncultured bacterium. RNAcentral describes it as "partial 16S ribosomal RNA". It matches the Rfam family "Bacterial small subunit ribosomal RNA", at positions 524 to 776 of the family's 1533-position model. The record is from RNAcentral.
UACGUAGGGUGCGAGCGUUGUCCGGAAUUACUGGGCGUAAAGAGCUCGUAGGUGGUUUGUCGCGUUGUUCGUGAAAACUCACAGCUCAACUGUGGGCGUGCGGGCGAUACGGGCAGACUAGAGUACUGCAGGGGAGACUGGAAUUCCUGGUGUAGCAGUGGAAUGCGCAGAUAUCAGGAGGAACACCGGUGGCGAAGGCGGGUCUCUGGGCAGUAACUGACGCUGAGGAGCGAAAGCGUGGGGAGCGAACAGG